UUGAGACCACUUUCCUGACUGCUAGCAAAUCUGUGAGCUGUCUCCUUAUGGAUGUAUCACGGCUUGGUGGGUGGUGGAAGUAAGCGCAGGCAGGAUGGUGGUUCAAACAGGUCCUGACUGGCCCGCAGACCAGAGAUGGCUAGAGACAUCCUCAUAGCCAGGACCUGACAGGUUGUUGGCACCUCUGCGGUCAGGUCUUGACUGUGGUCCCAAGGCGCAUAGAGAUGCCUAGAGGCCCCCAGCCAGGAACUGACAAAUGCCAAGUGUUACAUCCAGCAAAAACAAGGUACCAUUCAUGACCUGGCUAAUACUAUCCCAACGGUGAAGCAUGGUGGUGGGAGCCUCAUGUUAUGAGGAUGAUUCUCAAUGACAGGGACCGGAAAACUGGUCCGGAUUGAGGAAAGGAUGAACAGAGCAAAAUACGGAGAGCUCCUUGAAGAAAACCUGAUAAAGACUUCACAGGAUCUCAGACUAUGCUGAAGAUCCCUUGUCCAUCAAGAAAACAACAUAAAGCACACAGCCAGGACAAUGCUGAUGUGGUUUCAGGACACAUUUUUGCAUGUCCAUGAGUGGCCCAGUCAAAGCCUCCACUUGAACCUCUUGAAGAAUGGGAGAAAUAAAUCCAGAUCCAGAUAUGCAAAGCUAGUAGAGGUAUAUAUUCUUUACAAUAUAUUGCCACACUUUUCUAAAUGUUUUUGGGUCUUCAUUAUGGGGUAGUUAUAUGGGGCAGUUAUACAUUUAGUCUACAACAAAUGUAGGGCUCUAAAUACCUGCUGAAACCACUGUAUGUCUCAUAUAACCUAUAGUAGUAACCUAAUGGAGUGUUUGCUGCAACUGGGGCCUAGUAGAAGUGACGGUAUGAUCACAUUGGCGCUUUUCCACUGCAUGGUACCGGCUCAACUCUACUCGCCUCGCCUCUACCCGCUUUGAGAGCUUUUCCACUGCAUGGUACCGACUCGGCUCACAAUUUGCUUUUCCACUGGCCAAAGGUUGAGAUAGUACCUAUUACCAGGUACUUUCAUCAGUAGGGAUGGGAAGGGUCUUUUAUGUAGCAGCCAUAGUGUACAUACACUUUAUCUCAUGCAAGGUUACAAUUCAAUAUUGAAUUUGCCAUGAAUGAAUUCUGUAAAUUCAGCCACCCGUUUAACUGUUAUUUAAUCACGACUCAAUAACACAGUGUAAAUAUUGUUAUAGCCCUGAUUCAUUGUCUGCACUGUUUGAUUGUAUUGUACUAUACGCCAUAUGUUAGCCUUGCCAUCUUUUAAUUAA
Long non-coding RNA from Esox lucius (northern pike), 1269 nucleotides. RefSeq lists it as uncharacterized. NCBI's taxonomy places the organism in Eukaryota, Metazoa, Chordata, Actinopteri, Esociformes, Esocidae. The transcript is spliced from 3 exons. The record is from RefSeq and is a predicted model, not a curated record.